GUCGAGCGACAGAUGAGAAGCUUGCUUCUCUGAUGUUAGCGGCGGACGGGUGAGUAACACGUGGGUAACCUACCUAUAAGACUGGGAUAACUCCGGGAAACCGGGGCUAAUACCGGAUAAUAUUUUGAACCGCAUGGUUCAAUAGUGAAAGACGGUUUCGGCUGUCACUUAUAGAUGGACCCGCGCCGUAUUAGCUAGUUGGUAAGGUAACGGCUUACCAAGGCGACGAUACGUAGCCGACCUGAGAGGGUGAUCGGCCACACUGGAACUGAGACACGGUCCAGACUCCUACGGGAGGCAGCAGUAGGGAAUCUUCCGCAAUGGGCGAAAGCCUGACGGAGCAACGCCGCGUGAGUGAUGAAGGUCUUCGGAUCGUAAAACUCUGUUGUUAGGGAAGAACAAAUUUGUUAGUAACUGAACAAGUCUUGACGGUACCUAACCAGAAAGCCACGGCUAACUACGUGCCAGCAGCCGCGGUAAUACGUAGGUGGCAAGCGUUAUCCGGAAUUAUUGGGCGUAAAGCGCGCGUAGGCGGUUUCUUAAGUCUGAUGUGAAAGCCCACGGCUCAACCGUGGAGGGUCAUUGGAAACUGGGAAACUUGAGUGCAGAAGAGGAGAGUGGAAUUCCAUGUGUAGCGGUGAAAUGCGCAGAGAUAUGGAGGAACACCAGUGGCGAAGGCGGCUCUCUGGUCUGUAACUGACGCUGAUGUGCGAAAGCGUGGGGAUCAAACAGGAUUAGAUACCCUGGUAGUCCACGCCGUAAACGAUGAGUGCUAAGUGUUAGGGGGUUUCCGCCCCUUAGUGCUGCAGCUAACGCAUUAAGCACUCCGCCUGGGGAGUACGACCGCAAGGUUGAAACUCAAAGGAAUUGACGGGGACCCGCACAAGCGGUGGAGCAUGUGGUUUAAUUCGAAGCAACGCGAAGAACCUUACCAAAUCUUGACAUCCUUUGACCGCUCUAGAGAUAGAGUCUUCCCCUUCGGGGGACAAAGUGACAGGUGGUGCAUGGUUGUCGUCAGCUCGUGUCGUGAGAUGUUGGGUUAAGUCCCGCAACGAGCGCAACCCUUAAGCUUAGUUGCCAUCAUUAAGUUGGGCACUCUAGGUUGACUGCCGGUGACAAACCGGAGGAAGGUGGGGAUGACGUCAAAUCAUCAUGCCCCUUAUGAUUUGGGCUACACACGUGCUACAAUGGAUAAUACAAAGGGCAGCGAAUCCGCGAGGCCAAGCAAAUCCCAUAAAAUUAUUCUCAGUUCGGAUUGUAGUCUGCAACUCGACUACAUGAAGCUGGAAUCGCUAGUAAUCGUAGAUCAGCAUGCUACGGUGAAUACGUUCCCGGGUCUUGUACACACCGCCCGUCACACCACGAGAGUUUGUAACACCCGAAGCCGGUGGAGUAACCU
RNAcentral lists this ribosomal RNA (1399 nucleotides) under bacterium. Its description in RNAcentral is "bacterial SSU rRNA". It matches the Rfam family "Bacterial small subunit ribosomal RNA". The record is from RNAcentral.